AUUGAACGCUGGUGGCAUGCUUAACACAUGCAAGUCGAACGGUAACAGGCUACGACAAUCCCUUCGGGGUGCGUCAUGCGCUGACGAGUGGCGGACGGGUGAGUAAUGCGUAGGAAUCUGCCCAGUAGCGGGGGACAACUCGGAGAAAUCCGAGCUAAUACCGCAUAAGCCUUACGAGGGAAAGAUGGCCUCUUCUUGAAAGCUAUCGCUAUUGGAUGAGCCUACGUCGGAUUAGCUUGUUGGUGGGGUAAUGGCCUACCAAGGCGACGAUCCGUAGCUGGUCUGAGAGGAUGAUCAGCCACACUGGGACUGAGACACGGCCCAGACUCCUACGGGAGGCAGCAGUGGGGAAUAUUGGACAAUGGGGGCAACCCUGAUCCAGCAAUGCCGCGUGUGUGAAGAAGGCCCUCGGGUUGUAAAGCACUUUCAAUGAGAAGAAG
This 440-nucleotide ribosomal RNA is filed under the name uncultured bacterium. Its description in RNAcentral is "bacterial SSU rRNA". It matches the Rfam family "Bacterial small subunit ribosomal RNA", at positions 30 to 450 of the family's 1533-position model. The record is from RNAcentral.